RNAcentral lists this ribosomal RNA (258 nucleotides) under uncultured bacterium. RNAcentral's name for it is "partial 16S ribosomal RNA". It matches the Rfam family "Bacterial small subunit ribosomal RNA", at positions 96 to 354 of the family's 1533-position model. The record is from RNAcentral.
UGGCGGACGGGUGAGUAACGCGUGGAUAACCUGCCGUAUACUGGGGGAUAACACUUAGAAAUAGGUGCUAAUACCGCAUAAGCGCACAGUCUCGCAUGAGACGGUGUGAAAAACUCCGGUGGUAUACGAUGGAUCCGCGUCUGAUUAGCUUGUUGGCGGGGUAACAGCCCACCAAGGCGACGAUCAGUAGCCGGCCUGAGAGGGUGAACGGCCACAUUGGGACUGAAACACGGCCCAAACUCCUACGGGAGGCAGCAG